Molecule: ribosomal RNA, 773 nt
Filed under: uncultured Neocallimastigales
Lineage: Eukaryota; Fungi; Neocallimastigomycota; Neocallimastigomycetes; Neocallimastigales
Description: partial large subunit ribosomal RNA
Rfam family: Eukaryotic large subunit ribosomal RNA
Source: RNAcentral
GUAGUCUCGCACAGAUGCAUAUCAAUAAGCGGAGGAAAAGAAACUAACAAGGAUUCCCCUAGUAACGGCGAGUGAAGCGGGAAGAGCUCAAAUUUGAAAUCUUAAAGGGUUUCCCUUUACGAAUUGUAGUUUAAAGAAGUGUUUUCUGUUGAGGUUUUGGUAAAAGUUCUUUGGAAUAGGACAUCAUAGAGGGUGAGAAUCCCGUAUUUGACCUUUACUUUCAACUUUGUGAUACACUUUCAAAGAGUCGGAUUGUUUGGGAAUGCAGUCCAAAAUGGGUGGUAAAUUUCAUCUAAAGCUAAAUAUUGGCGAGAGACCGAUAGCGAACAAGUACCGUGAGGGAAAGAUGAAAAGAACUUUGAAAAGAGAGUUAAACAGUACGUGAAAUUGUCAAAAGGGAAGCGUUUGACACCAGUGUUGUUUUUCUGAAAAUCAAUUAAAGAGCUGUUUAUGCUAAGCUGUUUAGACUUUAUCAGCUAACUGUUUAGUUUUGAGCUUUUCUUUAAUGCACUUUUCAGUUAACAAGUCAACAUCAAUUUCUUUUGCUGUAAAAAAGCUUGAGGAAGGUGGCUUGAGAUUCGUCUUAAGUGUUUAUAGCCUCUUGCCUAUGCAGUCGGAGAGAUUGAGGUCUGCAGCGUAGAUCCUUCGGGGCUAAAUGCAUUUGUGCUAAGUUAUAGCAUUUUAUAGACAACUUGUUGACUAUGAUUUGUCUUGUAGCUUACUCGCUUAUGUUAUUUUACCUACGCUUAGGAUGUUGAAGACUCUACAGAGAU